This 1530-nucleotide long non-coding RNA is filed under the name Sus scrofa (pig). Its description in RNAcentral is "lncRNA (ENSSSCG00025039907.1)". The record is from RNAcentral. Lineage: Eukaryota; Metazoa; Chordata; Mammalia; Artiodactyla; Suidae.
AGAUCCUCAGGUCUCAGUAAGUCCCCAAGGGGCUGGCGGGGGGUGAGUUUUUGAGAAAUGUCAUCAAGGGUUAUAACCGAAAACGAAGCCAUUUAUGAAUCUGGUUUUGAAUCAAGAUCCUGUGUUCACUAAGAUUACCUAUACAACUAAAAAUCUAAGAAGAAAUCAUUGCCCAUGUGGAGUUUCUAACAAAUUUUUUUUUUCUUUUUUAAGGUCUCACCCACAGCCUAUGGAAGUUCCCAGGCUAGGAGUCCAAUUGGAGCUACAGCUGCCGGUCUACACCACAGACAUAGCAAUGCAGGAUCCAAGCCUGGUCUGUGACCUACACCACAGCUCACGGCAACACCAGAUCCUUAAUCUACUGAGCAAGGCCAGGGAUAGAACCUGCGUCCUCACGGAUGCUAGUCAGAUUCUUUUCUGUUGAGCCCCAAUAGGACCUCCCUCUACCAACUGUUUUCAUGUCACCGUGAAAGGUGUCAGGGAUGAGAUCAAUGUAAGUGAAAAUGCAAGUGUCUUCGUUCACAGAACAGGAAAGAUUGGCAUGAGCUGGCAUCAGGUUAAUUGGGAACAUCAAUCAAAGCCCUGAAAGUGAUGCUGGCAGAAACCGAGCAGGUCUCUGUGAGGCAGAAGAGCCAGGACUUGGGCUCGGAGCUUGUCUGCAGGUGGUGCUUUGACGGGAGCACCCCAGGCGGGCGCAGAGCCCAACUACAGCCGCCUCUGGGGUCUCCCAGGCUUUGAAGGUAAACCCAUCGGCCUGGCAUCCACGAACGUUUCAGCCAGAUGUGCAGCCCUUGGAACGAGAACGUGAACGACUGCUUUGAAGAUGAAAAGCCCUGGGAGCAAGGGAGCCCCUUUAUUACUGCCCAGAGCGCCCCGGCUCCGCGCCUGCAUCACUGCUCUGCUCCAGCUGGUGAAAGGCAAACCCAGCCGGAAAUGCCAAGUGUGGGGAUGAGGAGCUAGGAAAUACUGGGGGUGGGAGAAGGGAAAGGGUGGGUGCCCAUGCUUUGAAAUUCUGCCCCGGAAAGGCCUCAUCAGUGGAUCGCCUUCCAACCUGCCCCAGUACAACAACUGGAUGUGGCAUGUGACAGGCACUGUGGCCAGAUCGCGUUUCACACAUGCAGCUGUAAUAUCUGGCACACAGGUGUUUGGUUCUGUGUGUGUGCCAGCUGCUCUGCAGCGCCCUGCUUCUCUGGAUGGGGCGGGGGAGGGGAGACCCUCACACUUGUUGCAGCCCAAAGCUAGGAGGGGGCUGGAAAUUCCUGCCAGGGGGGCCCGAGUGCUCCGCGUAGGCUUCGGGGUUUGCAUCUCAGGGUCCCGGGCCUCUGCGCAUGUGCUGUCCCAGGACCAGAGCUGUGGCUGCAGAGGGUGGGAGAGGGGGGUGACGUGGACGCCUCCAGAAAGCUGGCACGGGGCCCCAGGAACGGGGCGGAGGUCAGGGGGCUGGGCACAGUAGGUCCCCGCGCUCUUGGAUCGGGAAGACUCGUGUUCAGUCCCCAUUCCACCUCCGAGUAAAUGAGGUGGUGACAGCUC